GACGAACGCUGGCGGCGUGCUUAACACAUGCAAGUCGAACGGAAAGGCCCUGCUUUUGUGGGGUGCUCGAGUGGCGAACGGGUGAGUAACACGUGAGUAACCUGCCCUUGACUUUGGGAUAACUUCAGGAAACUGGGGCUAAUACCGGAUAGGAGCUCCUGCUGCAUGGUGGGGGUUGGAAAGUUUCGGCGGUUGGGGAUGGACUCGCGGCUUAUCAGCUUGUUGGUGGGGUAGUGGCUUACCAAGGGUUCGACGGGUAGCCGGCCUGAGAGGGUAGACAGGCACAUGAGGACUGAGAGAGGGACCAGACGGGAACGGGAGGCAGAAGGGGGGAAUAUGACACAGCGGGCCGAAGCCUGAGGCAGAAGCGCCGCGUGCGGGAAGACGGGUUUCGGGUUGUAAACCGCUUUCGCCUGUGACGAAGCGUGAGUGACGGUAAUGGAUAAAGAAGCACCGGCUAACUACGUG
This 468-nucleotide ribosomal RNA is filed under the name uncultured bacterium. Its description in RNAcentral is "partial 16S ribosomal RNA". It matches the Rfam family "Bacterial small subunit ribosomal RNA", at positions 28 to 507 of the family's 1533-position model. The record is from RNAcentral.